This is a long non-coding RNA of Ictalurus furcatus (blue catfish), 5402 nucleotides long. RefSeq lists it as uncharacterized. NCBI's taxonomy places the organism in Eukaryota, Metazoa, Chordata, Actinopteri, Siluriformes, Ictaluridae. The transcript is spliced from 7 exons. The record is from RefSeq and is a predicted model, not a curated record.
UUUUUUUUUUUUGCGCAGACUGGAAAGGAACUUUGAUUUUAUUUUUUGUUUUUCUUUUUAAUAACGAUUAUCUUUCAGAUCAGAGAGGUCCUCCCUGGAAGCAAAGCGUGUUAUGGAGGGACAUAGACACACGAAUUGUUUCUAACAUGCAUUACGGUCAUGGGAGGCCCACCCUCACCCCCUCCUGCUGCUGCCUGCACCUCCUGAUCCCCCAUCACCAGAGAGAGGCUCCUGAUCUGCAGUGCUGUAUGGUAAACAGGAACGCUUUCCUUGGAAGGAGGAAUUUCCCCCAGCAGUCCCCUAGAUCAGUAAUAGUGCUGGGUGUAAAGUUCCCGAAUGAAGAUUAAUGAUCAAUGAUCUACGAGUGAUCUUGGAUAAAAGGGCUUGUCAGGAGACGAGGAGGGAAGAAGGGGAGGCGGCAGCGGCGGUGGCGGUGGUGAGGAGGUGAAGGUGGGAGAAAUUAGGAAAGGAAGUGGAAUGUGGAGAUGGCUGAGUGUUACAUGGAGCCUUGAAAACUGAGCCUGGAAAUGAUAAUUGGUCUGCGCUUAUACUAACAUCAGAGACCCUCUGAUCUCUGGGGAUGCUGGCAUCACCGUUCGAUCUGAUUAUUUGGGAAGGACAAAGUGCUUGUGUUGAUGAAGAGCCUGCUCGAAAAUCUGGGAGUGCAGAAAUCAAUGCAGAUCCUCUGGCCCCUGGAGCAUUGAUCAUGCCUGCCUCUGCAUUGACAACACAUGCCUUGUUUAUCUAGGUGUACGGGAAGGGCUGAAACAAGCCUUGGGUGAAGUUUUUUUUAUUAUUAUUCAUCCUUUUCUUUCCUUGGCAUCUCUGAGUCCCUAUUUCCCAUCUCUAUAUCAACAGACUGGCAUGAUUAAUAAUACACAUUCAUAAGUUUGAUUGAAGAAAGUUUUCAGCUAGUACACAUACUUGUGGGAUGCGAGACGGGUGUAGGGAGUGGAGGGGGUAUCACUUAUAAUUCCCUGCUUCUCCUGUGUCUUUUUAAAGCUAGAGAAACAAUGUCUAUUCGCAUAGUUUGCGAUGGAAUCAAUCCACCAUCAGAUGGACGAGUUUGCUGAAACGAGGGCCGCUCAUUACCGCAGGAUGUUGUUUGUCCAGAAAGCCUUUUCCUCCCACCUUGUUAGAGAUGUCCAGCCUGCAUAAUUGGAUCCAUCUCCAGCUGCAGACAGAUACUCUCAUAGCGAGAGCUUGCAUAAAUGACAAAUGUUCCACCUAUCUAUGAACGAUGACCAUUUAAAGGAAUGACGUCUCGUUAUUAGGACGGCAGACAAGUUUGAAGGCUCCGGCAAUCUCUUCAGCGGUGAGCAAGGCAUCACUUCACUUAAGGCUGUCUGUGUUGAUUUGGACGCGGAGAGCUUCUUCUGAUUCCUGUUUAGCAAACGUGUUUGCAACAAAUAAGCGUCCACUUUGAGGCUAAUUGCCACUGAAGCAUGCGCAAAAUGUGUCAUUAUGAAACGUUCAGGGCUGGAAAUGUGACUGACUUCACAAAUUCAUCGCUGUCAUUCUUGAGAUGAGACGAGCACAUUUGAGAUCAUUUGACUGGAGCCUGCCUUAUCAUCCAGACUAAUUGAAGACAGAGCACGAGAGUUUUUAUGGAUGAGCACAGCAUCUGUUUCUAGACAAGGUUCAGCACAGACAUUCCAUACACAGGUGACUUGCGAAUGUUUAUUGAAACGCAAGGUGAGUUUGAUUAAAUCAGGGAUUUGUUUAGGUCCUCCACAACUACAUCAUGUCAUUCACAAUGUGUGAGUCAUAGUUUCUGGUUGUAAUGUGUUCCGAGCUAGGUCAUUCAUGGUGAAUGUUUCAUAACACAUGAAACCACCUGUCUGUCUAGUCAUGGACCCAAUACUGAAGAAAUCGUGUGCCUAGUCCUGCACCAAAUUACAGCCACAUUAGUGAAUGUAGAACAAUAAAUUCUUCCUUGAUUUGCUAUAAUGCUUAAGUAAGGCAGAAUUGUGCACCUCUGUACAAUUACACAGUGCCCCAGAACUGUCUUUAACUGGGGAAAAAAUGUGGCUUGCACCUGUAAUAGUCGUGUUUACAUCAUCAUCGGAAAUAAUGAAAUAAACCAAAACAAGACCCCCUUUUUUUUUAACCCACAAUGGGCCAGUGAUAUUGUUUGUUUGUUUAUCAUUACAUACUUUAACCGUUUGAGCAGGUAACAUUGGUGAUUGAAAAGUUGCAUAAAGUAAUGCAACACAUUUAAAUCAUUUGUUAUAAUACUUAUUAAAAAUAUUUCAUCUCAUUUUGUGGCAAGAUCAAUAAUUUUUACACAACACUUUUUUCAAAGUUGUUUGAAUACUUGACUAAUAUUUCUUGUGCUAUUAUACUAUAUAUUCACUUUUUCACUGUCUAAUACAAACGUGCAUUGUUUCAUCUAUAAGUUAAUCUAGACAUCUGACCUUUUUAAAUCAGUUACAUUCAACAUGCAGCAAUAAUGCACAACCUGUUUUAGUAGUUAACAUUAACAGAAUUUGAAAUUUUGUGACAGGACAAUGGACGAGUUGAUGGUCUAUAGGUUAUUUACAGCACUAAACAUCAAGAGCUUGAAACCGAACUAUCCAAAUAAAGUGAAUGUAAAAAAGAUGAGUUGAUUGAUAGUCUACAGUAGGGGAGUCAAAUCAAAUCCGGAAAGGGCCGGUGUGGGUGCAGGUUUUCAUUCCAACCAAGCAGAAGCCACACCUGAGUCUAGUGAAAGCCAAGAUCAACUAAUUAAACAGGUGGAAUCAGGUGUGGCUCCUGCUUGGUUGGAAUAAAAACCUGCAUACACCCCGACCCUUUGUAGAUAAGAUUGGACACCCCUGGUCUACAGAUUAUCUACUAAACAUCAACAAACAAACUUUUGACAUAUUGUUUAAAAUUAGUUUAAACUGUAUGUCGGUUGAUGACAGUCAUUUGACAUGUUGUUGAUGGUCAGUAGAUGGUUUGUUGACUGUCUGUAAAGUGUUACCAAAGUAAAUACUAGUCUGCUUUCAAAUAUAAAUUACAUAAAUUGCUACAGCCAGUUUGUUUUUUGUUAUGUUAAUAAAUUAGCCAGCUUGAUGCAAUUAUUUUAACUGGAUGCAGACAUUAACACUAUUUUUUUUUUCUAACAGUGAGAGGAUUCUUGAUGUAAAACAUGACUCACUGCUGUUAAUGUUGUCCGUUCUAUCUUCUUAAGGACUCUUUGCCUCAAUUCUCUGUUAUAGAAAACCAGUUCAUUUUGUUGUCAUUAGAAGCACUGAAAGCUUCAUCAAAUUUGAUUUCCAAAUUAUCCUUCAUAUUCUUUCUCAACUACACUUAAGAAAAUGGCUUGGAUUAUUUGAUAUCUUAAACACAGGGUACUGAGAAUGGUUAAGAUAAUAGAGAAUAGCUAUGACUUGCAUACUAUAUAUAAAUAUAUAAAAUAAUAGCACUUGAAAAUAUUUUUGUAUGGAUUAGACAGAUGGGUGAUGAAAUGAAGGAACAACAAACAAGUGUCUUAGUAAGGUGUUGGGCCACCACAAUUCACCAGGACAGUCUUCAAAGUGUCAUCAUGGCAAUCUGUAUCUGGCACAGAUUCUGUAAGUAUCUGGAACUGUACUGGAAGCAUGAACACCUUCCCUUUUACACAUGCACUACAUGGCCAAAAGCAUGUGGACACCUGACCAUGACACCCAUGUGGCUCUUCCACAAACUGUUAUCACAAACUUGGAAGCACACAGUUGUAUAGAAUGUCUUUGUGGGCUGUAGCAUUACAGUUUAACUUCACUGGAACUAAAAUGUCCAAAUCUGUUCCAGCAUGACAAUCUGACCCCUGUGGCACAAAGUGAGCUCCAUGAAGACAUGGUUUUCCAAGGUUGGUGUAGAAGAACUUGAACUACACCUUUGGGAUGACCUGGAACGCUGACUGCACCCCAGGCCUCCUUGCCCAACAUCACUGUCUGACCUUACUAAUGCUCUUGUGGCUAAAUGGAGAAAUCCCCAUAGCCACGCUCCAAAAUCUAGUAGAAACCUUUCCCAAAAGAGCUGAGGUUAUUAUGACAGCAAAGGGGGACUAAAUCUGGAAUGAGAGGUUCAACAAGCACAUAUGGGUGUGAUUGGUCAGGUGUCCACAAACUUUAAUCAUAAUAGUGUUUAAUUAUAGGAUAAAAGGUGAUCAGUCAAAAUAACUUUAUUUUGAUUUACAGUGAGCCGUCCUUCUAAGGAAAUAACAGGACCCUAAUCAUGACAGCAAAAUGUUCUACAUCAUAAAAGAGCCACCAGGUUUCUUUCAUUUGUUACUCUUCUUUAUAUCCACCACACACACACACACACACACACACACACACACACACACACACAAAUAUGAUUUUUUUUUUUUUUUUGUAUUAUCAGAGAGGUGAAUUUUGAAAGAUUUGCUUGAGAGUUCAAGUGGAUUUGUAAACAUGGCAUCCUGUUCCAUAGGUGAUGCACUAUAUGACCAUACUUUCAUAUCUAUAAUGAGAUUUCAAGUAAAGAUGAUCAAAAACAAUCUUGAUAGUCUAAAAAUAUAUAUGUGUAGAGAAGAAAAAAUGAAUUUGUGUGUGGGGGAAAUAUGCAUAUGCAGUAAAUUUCCACAUGCCUGUAUAUCGUAUUAUCAUGUGCUGUAGGGAGACAUAUUGUUUGUUAUUAUGUUGCAAUUCUUUUCUUGGAAAUGAUAUGCUCUUAUCCUGUCAUUUAACCCAGCUGUUUAUGAAGAAUAAUGUGUUGUGGGAAUAUCACAUUGUGAGACCUGUACUGGGACACAAGUUCAUUGCACACCUAAUACUGAACAGAAAAAAAAACACAGACAUAAAAGUGGACUCUUUAGGUCUCUUACCAUACAGUUAUUUCAGACUACACUAAGAAAGUGGACUGAUCUCUCACAUCUGCAGACCAGAACUCAGCGGGUGAUUUAAACUCCCUCAUUCUGGGCUGGAACAUUACUUUAAUUCACUGAUGCAUGAAACAUUAAAAUGUAGAAGGCACUAAAAUGAAGGGUGAGGAAGUGUAGAAGAGAGAACGAGCUUUCGAGUGAAGUGGAUUUAUUAAGAGUGGCCCAUGCUAGUUUGCUGCCAUUAUUAGCUGAUUAGAUGUCAGAGGGAAGAAGAGACCUGGCAACCUCACAAGGCGAGAGGUGUGAGCCAUCUUACAUCCGCAUACAAAAUGGAGCUGGGAUAAUUAGCACGGCAUCACCAGACGAUUCUGACUCUGAUGAACGGGGAAAAAAUAGAAUAGGAGAAAGUGCAGCUCUGAAAACAAACUUUGAGCUGACAUGAAAAAAGUUGGAUGCGAAAGUUGUUAACAUCACAGUCAGAGAAAAAUUAAAGCACAUGCAUUUACAAUGAAUUAUAUGCAUAAGAGAAAUUCGGGCAACAUGCAUUACUAUAUAAAGCUAAUAAAUAUCAUUUAGCACACCUAAAAAGAAC